RNAcentral lists this ribosomal RNA (685 nucleotides) under uncultured Bacilli bacterium. RNAcentral's name for it is "bacterial SSU rRNA". It matches the Rfam family "Bacterial small subunit ribosomal RNA", at positions 76 to 747 of the family's 1533-position model. The record is from RNAcentral. Lineage: Bacteria; Bacillati; Bacillota; Bacilli.
CACUCAAUUGGAAAGAGGAGUGGCGGACGGGUGAGUAACACGUGGGUAACCUACCCAUCAGAGGGGGAUAACACUUGGAAACAGGUGCUAAUACCGCAUAACAGUUUAUGCCGCAUGGCAUAAGAGUGAAAGGCGCUUUCGGGUGUCGCUGAUGGAUGGACCCGCGGUGCAUUAGCUAGUUGGUGAGGUAACGGCUCACCAAGGCCACGAUGUAUAGCCGACCUGAGAGGGUGAUCGGCCACACUGGGACUGAGACACGGCCCAGACUCCUACGGGAGGCAGCAGUAGGGAAUCUUCGGCAAUGGACGAAAGUCUGACCGAGCAACGCCGCGUGAGUGAAGAAGGUUUUCGGAUCGUAAAACUCUGUUGUUAGAGAAGAACAAGGACGUUAGUAACUGAACGUCCCCUGACGGUAUCUAACCAGAAAGCCACGGCUAACUACGUGCCAGCAGCCGCGGUAAUACGUAGGUGGCAAGCGUUGUCCGGAUUUAUUGGGCGUAAAGCGAGCGCAGGCGGUUUCUUAAGUCUGAUGUGAAAGCCCCCGGCUCAACCGGGGAGGGUCAUUGGAAACUGGGAGACUUGAGUGCAGAAGAGGAGAGUGGAAUUCCAUGUGUAGCGGUGAAAUGCGUAGAUAUAUGGAGGAACACCAGUGGCGAAGGCGGCUCUCUGGUCUGUAACUGACGCU